UCUUAUCAAGAGUAGGUGGAGGGACUAGCCCGAUGAUACCCGGCAACCGGCGAAUUUUGCACGGUGCUAAUUCUUGCAGGAUCAAAUGCCCUGUCGGCGGAUGAUCUCUGAGAGAUGA
RNAcentral lists this non-coding RNA (118 nucleotides) under uncultured Paenibacillus sp. RNAcentral describes it as "SAM riboswitch (S box leader)". The stretch from base 3 to 104 matches the Rfam family "SAM riboswitch aptamer (S box leader)". From Rfam's summary of the family: The SAM riboswitch is found upstream of a number of genes which code for proteins involved in methionine or cysteine biosynthesis in Gram-positive bacteria. The SAM riboswitch acts at the level of transcription termination control. The record is from RNAcentral. Lineage: Bacteria; Bacillati; Bacillota; Bacilli; Caryophanales; Paenibacillaceae.